Anguilla anguilla (European eel) is the source of this 1652-nucleotide long non-coding RNA. RefSeq lists it as uncharacterized. The record is from RefSeq and is a predicted model, not a curated record. NCBI's taxonomy places the organism in Eukaryota, Metazoa, Chordata, Actinopteri, Anguilliformes, Anguillidae. The transcript has 2 exons.
CAGCGUUUGUUUUCAUCUUUUUUUCUGGAAGACUGUCAAGAAGAAAAAAAAAAGGCUUGUCAGGCUUUUAUCGGUCACAUAACUCCAGAAUGCCCCGCCCACAUUCCUUUCCUCUGGGAGAAAAACACCGCAGCGCAGCAGCAAGACUGAAAAAAAUAUCCCUCAGGAAUUCGUCAGUAAAUCAGUCACUUGAAUUUCGGUUCAUUGCCUGAGUUGACUGACUUGAGAGAGAGCUGAUGCGCAGCUCUGCUCUGGAGACUGUGCUGUUCUAACAGGCUGCCUGUAUGAAGUCGCGUGUAUAAAUGCAGCCAUUAGCUGAUGCCAUAGCGCUUUAUCUGUGCAACAUGCCAGUCAUGGCAGUAUAUUGUAAAUGGAUGCCAAAUGUUAUGGCUUGAAGUGUUACCGUGUAUCUACUCCUAUACGCCUAUUUUAUCAGAGGUGGAAAAUGUCGGUUCAGAAAUGAUAAGUCCACCCCAAUAUUUUGUUCCAAUCAGCAGGGUUUGCUAAAUAGUGCAAUUCUUCUGCCAAGAAGCAGAGGUAAUUAGUGAAAUCAGCUGGCUGAGUUAAUGGGUGAAAGAAACACACGGCAGGUCUUUUACUUUCUGACCCCUGGACUUUUCCUCCCCUGCUUAUUUUCUUCGCAAAAUGCUUUUUGUAUUUAUUGUAUUUCGCAAAAUGAGAGCCAGCUUUGUGCCAUCCUGCAGGCAUGUCAACCACAGACAGCCCUGGCAUCCAUCCAUCCACUGGCACAGAGCCUUAACAGGAUGAGCCACCCAGCACACCGCUCGUAUAAGGAUAUGAUUCCACCUCGUCUUAUAUUUAUUUAUUUCGGGUUGCUUCCUCCUUCCUUCAUGAACCCGUCGCUCUUGGAGGAACUUCCAGAACAUUCUUUCGGGGAGUUCCUCCUUCCUCCAAUCAAGGGACGGACGGACUGACCGCCGUCACUGGUGAAGAAAAGGGCAUUGCCGUGAAUCUUUGAAAUGACGAGACCAACUCCAUUUCUGAUUUAUUCGUUCUGGACUAGCAUCCAGCCAACAAUGUUUAUUUCAGGCCCUGUAAAUACAAUGGAUGAGAAGCAGUUAAUAAGGACAUCAUUUUAGAUCAAUACUUACUGCAAAUUAUAAUACAUAAUUGUCUCUCAUGGUAACCUUAUGUUAAAAAAAUCUCCCGUUUGUCUUUUAGACAGUACAUACACCUCAUUUAUGAUUAUCUGCGUACAUAUUUCAUGUGCGGUAAAUAUGCUAUAUUGCAUUGCUGUUGAGUGUGUCCAGCUCAACCCUGUAGCCAUUGUCAAAAAUGCGGCAAUUGUAAAAAAAAAGUUAUAAAAAAUGUAGGAUUUUUUUUUUUUUUUUUUUUUUAAGAGAAAAGUACCCAUGGUGCCAUGAAAAGUACCAAAGAGGUAAAAACCAACAGGUAAUUCCCAGUGGUCAGUAAUAAUUCUACCGUUGGAAUUUACCAGCUUUGCCAGGCUGGGGAUGAUUUUGCAAAAAAAAACCAAAAACAAUAAUUACCUAGUAUAACAUUUAUGCUGUAAAUGUUUAACAAGCCUAGCAUGCCUUUUUGAUUCAGUGGAAGUUCCAAAGUCUAACCACGCAGCAAACUCAAUGCGCCUCCUCCUUUAUUACAGAGAAAUAAAUGCAGGUGCAACUGUG